UCGUAGUUGGAUUUCUGUUAAUAAUUUAAAUAUAAUAUUUCACAAUAUUUAUAUAAUAUUAACAUAAUUCAUAUUACUAUUUUAUUUUUAGUAUAUGAAAUUUUACUUUGAGAAAAUUAGAGUGCUUAAAGCAGGCAUUUGCCUUGAAUUCACCAGGAUGGAAUAAUAUAAAAGAUUUUUAUCUUUUUUAUUGGUUCUAAGAUAAAAAUAAUGAUUAAUAGGGACAGUUGGGGGCAUUUGUAUUUAACAGUCAGAGGUGAAAUUCUUAGAUUUGUUAAAGACAAACUAGUGCGAAAGCAUUUGCCAACCAUGUUUUCAUUAAUCAAGAACGAAAGUUAGGGGAUCGAAGACGAUCAGAUACCGUCGAAGUCUUAACCAUAAACUAUGCCA
This 390-nucleotide ribosomal RNA is filed under the name Cryptosporidium environmental sequence. Its description in RNAcentral is "SSU rRNA". It matches the Rfam family "Eukaryotic small subunit ribosomal RNA", at positions 628 to 1044 of the family's 1831-position model. Lineage: Eukaryota; Apicomplexa; Conoidasida; Eucoccidiorida; Cryptosporidiidae. The record is from RNAcentral.